RNAcentral lists this ribosomal RNA (485 nucleotides) under uncultured bacterium. RNAcentral's name for it is "bacterial SSU rRNA". It matches the Rfam family "Bacterial small subunit ribosomal RNA", at positions 28 to 517 of the family's 1533-position model. The record is from RNAcentral.
GACGAACGCUGGCGGCGCGCCUAACACAUGCAAGUCGAACGGGGUCUUUUAGGAAGCUUGCUUCCUGGCUGACCUAGUGGCGGACGGGUGAGUAACACGUGAGCAACCUGCCGGGGAGUGGGGGAUAACGUCUGGAAACGGACGCUAAUACCGCAUAACAUAUCGGGAUGGCAUCAUCCUGGUAUCAAAGGAGAAAUCCGCUCUUUGAUGGGCUCGCGGCCGAUUAGGUAGUUGGUGGGGUAAAGGCCCACCAAGCCGACGAUCGGUAGCCGGACUGAGAGGUUGAUCGGCCACAUUGGGACUGAGACACGGCCCAGACUCCUACGGGAGGCAGCAGUGGGGAAUAUUGCACAAUGGGGGAAACCCUGACGCAGCAACGCCGCGUGAUUGAAGAAGGCCUUCGGGUUGUAAAGAUCUUUAAUCAGGGACGAAGGAAGUGACGGUACCUGAAGAAUAAGCUCCGGCUAACUACGUGCCAGCCGCCG